This 674-nucleotide ribosomal RNA is filed under the name Photobacterium sp. LC128. RNAcentral describes it as "bacterial SSU rRNA". It matches the Rfam family "Bacterial small subunit ribosomal RNA", at positions 262 to 945 of the family's 1533-position model. The record is from RNAcentral. Lineage: Bacteria; Pseudomonadati; Pseudomonadota; Gammaproteobacteria; Vibrionales; Vibrionaceae.
GGCUCACCAAGGCAACGAUCCCUAGCUGGUCUGAGAGGAUGAUCAGCCACACUGGAACUGAGACACGGUCCAGACUCCUACGGGAGGCAGCAGUGGGGAAUAUUGCACAAUGGGGGAAACCCUGAUGCAGGCAUGCCGCGUGUGUGAAGAAGGCCUCGGGUUGAAAGCACUUUCAGUAAGGAGGAAGGUUGUAGUUMACACUGCAUAUUGACGUCCCUACAGAGAAGCACCGCUAAUCGUGCCAGCAGMMGCGGUAAUUCGGAGGGUGCGAGCGUAUCGGACUACUGGGCGUAAAGCGCAUGCAGGCUGCCUGUUAAGUCAGAUGUGAAAGCCCGGGGCUCACCUCGGAAUUGCAUUUGAAACUGGCAGGCAAGACUCUGUAGAGGGGGGUAGAAUUUCAGGUGUAGCGKUGAAAUGSGUAGAGAUCUGAAGGAAUACCAGUGGCGAAGGCGGCCCCCUGGACAAAGACUGACGCUCAGAUGCGAAAGCGUGGGGAGCAAACAGGAUUAGAUACCYUGGUAGUCCACGCCGUAAACGAUGUCUACUUGGAGGUUGUGGCCUUGAGCCGUGGCUUUCGGAGCUAACGCGUUAAGUAGACCGCCUGGGGAGUACGGUCGCAAGAUUAAAACUCAAAUGAAUUGACGGGGGCCCGCACAAGCGGUGGAGCAUGUGGU